This 496-nucleotide ribosomal RNA is filed under the name uncultured bacterium. RNAcentral's name for it is "partial 16S ribosomal RNA". It matches the Rfam family "Bacterial small subunit ribosomal RNA", at positions 29 to 507 of the family's 1533-position model. The record is from RNAcentral.
AUGAACGCUGGCGGCGUGCCUAAUACAUGCAAGUCGAGCGCACGGACGAGAAGCUUGCUUCUCUGAUGUUAGCGGCGGACGGGUGAGUAACACGUGGAUAACCUACCUAUAAGACUGGGAUAAUUUCGGGAAACCGGAGCUAAUACCGGAUAAUAUUUUGAACCGCAUGGUUCAAAAGUGAAAGACGGUCUUGCUGUCACUUAUAGAUGGAUCCGCGCUGCAUUAGCUAGUUGGUAAGGUAACGGCUUACCAAGGCAACGAUGCAUAGCCGACCUGAGAGGGUGAUCGGCCACACUGGAACUGAGACACGGUCCAGACUCCUACGGGAGGCAGCAGUAGGGAAUCUUCCGCAAUGGGCGAAAGCCUGACGGAGCAACGCCGCGUGAGUGAUGAAGGUCUUCGGAUCGUAAAACUCUGUUAUUAGGGAAGAACAUAUGUGUAAGUAACUGUGCACAUCUUGACGGUACCUAAUCAGAAAGCCACGGCUAACUACGUG